This 248-nucleotide ribosomal RNA is filed under the name uncultured bacterium. RNAcentral's name for it is "partial 16S ribosomal RNA". It matches the Rfam family "Bacterial small subunit ribosomal RNA", at positions 524 to 768 of the family's 1533-position model. The record is from RNAcentral.
UACGUAGGGGGCGAGCGUUAUCCGGAAUUACUGGGCGUAAAGCGCACGCAGGCGGUUCGCCAAGUUUGGAGUGACAGUUGUCGGCUCAACCGACAAAGGACUUCAAAAACUGGUGAACUUGAGGACGAGAGAGGAACAUGGAACUCCAGGUGUAGUAGUGAAAUGCGUAGAUAUCUGGAAGAACACCAAUGGCGAAGGCAAUGGUUCUGGCUCGUUUCGUGACGCUCAGGUGGCGAAAGCCAGGGGAG